CCUACGGGAGGCAGCAGCCAGGAAUCUUGGGCAAUGGGCGAAAGCCUGACCCAGCAACACCGUGUGGGUGACGAAGGCCUUAGGGUCGUAAAGCCCUGUUGAUAGGGACGAAGGGCGAAGGGUUAAUAGCCCCUAGCUUGACGGUACCUUUCGAGGAAGCCCCGGCUAACUACGUGCCAGCAGCCGCGGUAAUACGUAGGGGGCGAGCGUUGUCCGGAAUUAUUGGGCGUAAAGAGCGUGUAGGCGGUUCGGUAAGUCUGCUGUGAAAUCUUGGGGCUCAACCCUGAGCGUGCAGCGGAUACUGCCGGGCUAGAGGGUGGUAGAGGCGAGUGGAAUUCCGAGUGUAGCGGUGAAAUGCGCAGAUAUUCGGAGGAACACCAGUAGCGAAGGCGGCUCGCUGGGCCACACCUGACGCUGAGACGCGAAAGCGUGGGGAGCGAACAGGAUUAGAUACCCUGGUAGUCCACGCCGUAAACGAUGGAUACUGGGUGUGGGGGGAGUCGAAUCCCUCUGUGCCGAAGUUAACGCGUUAAGUAUCCCGCCUGGGGAGUACGGCCGCAAGGCUAAAACUCAAAAGAAUUGACGGGGGCCCGCACAAGCAGCGGAGCAUGUUCUUUAAUUCGAUGCAACGCGAAGAACCUUAC
RNAcentral lists this ribosomal RNA (644 nucleotides) under uncultured Actinomycetes bacterium. Its description in RNAcentral is "bacterial SSU rRNA". It matches the Rfam family "Bacterial small subunit ribosomal RNA", at positions 338 to 974 of the family's 1533-position model. Lineage: Bacteria; Bacillati; Actinomycetota; Actinomycetes. The record is from RNAcentral.